Python bivittatus (Burmese python) is the source of this 530-nucleotide non-coding RNA. The record is from RefSeq and is a predicted model, not a curated record. Lineage: Eukaryota; Metazoa; Chordata; Lepidosauria; Squamata; Pythonidae.
AAUCUGAGACGCGCGCCGGGCUCGAACCGCUCCGCUACUUCCUCGUGCCUGCGAAGUUUUCGUCGGUUCCGCCCUCAUCGGCCGUCUGCCUUACGAGCUCGGCUUUCCUUGCCCAGCGGUGGCGCGAGCGGUGCGGACGACGAGAGACAGGAAUGCGCCGGCAGGUCCGUCCGGGCUUCGGACGAGCUGCGCUUUGCGUGGUUGUACAGCCGACCCAGCAAGGCUGAGGCGAAAGAGCAGGAGUCGGAGGCAGAACGCUUCAAAAAUGCAGCAUUGAUCCGAAGACAGCUACUGAACUGGAGCUGUUCUACUGCUCCUAUUCAGAUCUGGCUGAAACCACUGAGUUCUGCAUAACAAUGUCUUUGGGACACUUAAGCAAAGGAGUCAGCCUAGAUGAACUUAUUGAUACAUGUAUUGAUUCUUUUGAUGCAGAUGGAAACUUGUGUAAAAAUUACCAGCUCCUGACAGUAACUUUAACCAUGCAUCGACUUAUCAUCUCCUCCUCUGAGAUACUGCGAAAACUAAUAGAU